This is a long non-coding RNA of Lutra lutra (Eurasian river otter), 292 nucleotides long. RefSeq lists it as uncharacterized. The record is from RefSeq and is a predicted model, not a curated record. Lineage: Eukaryota; Metazoa; Chordata; Mammalia; Carnivora; Mustelidae. The transcript is spliced from 3 exons.
GAGAUUGGGCAGGAGCUGAAUGUUGAGAUCCUCUGCUCUACCUCCUUGAAGGACAACAGGUGCCCCCAAAUGCCAACAGAGUCCAGUGCUGGCUCAGGGUGUCCCCACUGACCUGACAGUCCUCCCCAAGUUCUGCAAGUCUUGCACAUGAUCAUGGUGAAAUAUGGAUCACUGAUGAGGAGGAGUGAGACCUGUGUGCUAUGGACAAACCGGGCCAACCUGUUAAAUAAGCAAAUGCAACAUCUGGUGCCUAAUUUCCUAGGAAGAGAACUCAGCUAUGCCUACAUGUUCC